RNAcentral lists this ribosomal RNA (497 nucleotides) under uncultured bacterium. Its description in RNAcentral is "partial 16S ribosomal RNA". It matches the Rfam family "Bacterial small subunit ribosomal RNA", at positions 28 to 507 of the family's 1533-position model. The record is from RNAcentral.
GAUGAACGCUGGCGGCGUGCCUAAUACAUGCAAGUCGAGCGAACAGACGAGGAGCUUGCUCCUCUGACGUUAGCGGCGGACGGGUGAGUAACACGUGGAUAACCUACCUAUAAGACUGGGAUAACUUCGGGAAACCGGAGCUAAUACCGGAUAAUAUAUUGAACCGCAUGGUUCAAUAGUGAAAGACGGUUUUGCUGUCACUUAUAGAUGGAUCCGCGCCGCAUUAGCUAGUUGGUAAGGUAACGGCUUACCAAGGCGACGAUGCGUAGCCGACCUGAGAGGGUGAUCGGCCACACUGGAACUGAGACACGGUCCAGACUCCUACGGGAGGCAGCAGUAGGGAAUCUUCCGCAAUGGGCGAAAGCCUGACGGAGCAACGCCGCGUGAGUGAUGAAGGUCUUCAGAUCGUAAAACUCUGUUAUUAGGGAAGAACAAAUGUGUAAGUAACUAUGCACGUCUUGACGGUACCUAAUCAGAAAGCCACGGCUAACUACGUG